GGAAGUAAAAGUCGUAACAAGGUUUCCGUAGGUGAACCUGCGGAAGGAUCAUUACUGAUUUAGCGAACCGAGCGUUAGCGAGGUUUUGCGAUUAACUUGUAUUUAAAACCCACUCUUCAAUGUAUAAAAUUUGUAUUAAUGAUAAAUUAAAAGAUCACUUUCAACAACGGAUCUCUUGGCUCUCGCAUCGAUGAAGAACGUAGCGAAGUGCGAUAAGUAAUGUGAAUUGCAGCAUUCCGUGAAUCAUCGAACCUUUGAACGCAUAUUGCACUUUCUGGUAUUCCGGAAAGUAUGCCUGUUUGAGGGUCAGUUAAAUAAAAAUCGGUGUUGUUGCCGCUUUCCGUGGUGACGCGUCGGAAUUGAGUCGUCUUCGGUUAAGUGACUUAAAAUUUUAUAUGAUUUUCGAACGUAUUUAAAUUUAUUUGAACGUUUGAUAUCGAAUGCUUAUUAGGUUCGGUCAUCCUCAUGACUCGCGCCUAUAAUUUUUCAUUAAAUGACCUCAAAUCAGGUAAGAAUACCCGCUGAACUUAAGCAUAUCAAUAAGCGGAGGA
This 551-nucleotide ribosomal RNA is filed under the name uncultured Glomus. Its description in RNAcentral is "eukaryotic LSU rRNA". The stretch from base 156 to 309 matches the Rfam family "5.8S ribosomal RNA". Lineage: Eukaryota; Fungi; Glomeromycota; Glomeromycetes; Glomerales; Glomeraceae. The record is from RNAcentral.